AACAUCGAUCUUGAAUUGUAUGUAGAGUUAAAUGUGUAGAUUUUAAUGGUUCAAAUGAAUCUUUGGCUGGGCUUUGGAGGAGGGAGAGGGAGUGGAAGAAGCGCAUGGGGCGCGACGGGGUCGGGCGGGCGGGAGAGGCGGAGACACUUCUGUAAGGACACCCGAGAGCGGCCGUGUUGCUUCGGUGGUCUCGUCGUUGGUGACCAUGCCGUGCUACUGGGCACGAUCACGAGGAUGCUGGUGUCCAUAGACGGCUAGAUGGGCCAGGCACGAUGGGCGGCCGGGACACAGCCUAAAAAGCCCGACCCUAG
RNAcentral lists this long non-coding RNA (311 nucleotides) under Setaria viridis. RNAcentral describes it as "long non-coding RNA (SVIR_LNC001568)". The record is from RNAcentral. Lineage: Eukaryota; Viridiplantae; Streptophyta; Magnoliopsida; Poales; Poaceae.